CAAUGGUAUGGUAUGUUUAACAGAGGUGCAUAAUGGCCAAUGGGAGAUUAGGACAAUGGUUGCAAAUGCUAGUUUGUGUACUAAUAUUGCUCAAAACAGAAGGCUUCUAUGUUGGCAUAACUUAUGUUCAGAAUGCUGUUGCAAAAGGAGCAGUUUGUUUGGAUGGGUCUCCCCCGGCUUACCAUCUUGAUAAGGGGUUUGGAGCAGGAAUUAACAAUUGGUUGGU
This is a non-coding RNA of Camellia sinensis, 226 nucleotides long. NCBI's taxonomy places the organism in Eukaryota, Viridiplantae, Streptophyta, Magnoliopsida, Ericales, Theaceae. The record is from RefSeq and is a predicted model, not a curated record.